This is a non-coding RNA of Hydra vulgaris (swiftwater hydra), 14614 nucleotides long. NCBI's taxonomy places the organism in Eukaryota, Metazoa, Cnidaria, Hydrozoa, Anthoathecata, Hydridae. The record is from RefSeq and is a predicted model, not a curated record.
UAUAAGUCGUAUAAACGCCAAGUUAAGUCGCGUGUUUUCAACGCCGUCGUUUAACAUUGAAAGAAACGAAUAAAAAUCUUAACUAAUAGUAUUUUAUUUAGUUAAUUUGAUAAUGCACAUAUAUUCAACGCAAACAAUUUAAAUUAAAAUGACCAAAGACACAAGUUUAAUUGAGUACCAUCAAUAUGCAAGUGCUUUGGUUGAUUCAUCUGUCAGCGAUGAUGAUAGGCUUAAAUUUAUUCAAGAAAUAUCUCAGUGUUUUGAGACAAUAUGUACUUCUAACCAUUAUGCUGGCUUCCUUGAGCAUGCAAUUCCAAAGUUUUUAUCCUUUUUAAAAGAGAGUGAAGCUUAUUUCUCCACAGAUUCUGUUAAACAAGAACUUCGUAAACUGAUAUUAGAUAUUAUACAUAGAAUACCUGCUAAUGAUUCUCUAAAAACCCAUGUCUCUAGUAUACUUGAUGUUAUGUUCCACAUGCUUAAUAUUGACAACGAAGAAAAUGUUUUAGUUGCUUUACGAAUCAUUAUUGAACUUCAUAAGCAGUUUCGGCCACAAAUUAAGCCAGAGAUUAAGAUGUUUUUGCAGUUUGUUAUCAAUUUCUACAAAGAAUUUCACAAUAUUGCUAAAACACAUUUUGAUAUUGUUGCUGUCACUGCAACAGGUCAUUUACCAAUAGAAAGUAGUAUUAACUCUCAGAAUUCAAUGAAGCAAGCAACAGUUCCUGUUAAAGUACCCUCUUCGCCUGUAGGCCAACCAAGUGAUAAUUCAGCACGAACUGGCCAGAUAGUUUUGAUACCAAAAGCAACAGAAUCAUUAAAAGUUUUAGCAGAGCUUCCAAUAAUUGUUGUGCUUAUGUAUCAGUUAUACAAGCAGAGUGUUCAAGGAAAAAUUGAAGAAUUUAUACCAGUUGUCAUGAAAACCAUCACAUUGCAACCAUCCUUAUCUGCAAGGAGCUCUCCACUCUUCAACAAAGAAGUCUAUGUUGACUUUACAGCUGCACAGAUCAAAACUCUUUCAUUUUUAGCUUACAACGUGAAGAUAUUUCAAGAUUUAGUUGGCCAAUAUUCAACCAACAUGGUUGCUGGAAUGCUUGCUCUGUUUCGUUACUGUCCACAAGAAGUUGCGCAUUUAAGGAAAGAACUUCUUAUAGCUGUGCGACACAUUCUUGCCACUGAACUUCGAUCUAAAUUUGUUCCUCAUAUUGAGCAGUUCUUUGAUGAAGAUGUUCUUAUUGGAAGUGGAUGGACAGUGAAUGAAGCUUUAAGACCACUUGCUUAUAGCACUUUAGCUGAUUUUGUUCACCAUGUUCGCCAAGUUCUUACCCUCCCAAAUCUCUCAAUGGCUGUGCAACUAUUUUCAAAAAAUGUCUAUGACGAAUCUCUACCACUUAGUAUACAAAGAAUGUCAUGCAAGCUUCUUCUAAAUCUUGUGGAAUGCAUUCGGCAAAAAAGUGAAGAAUCUUCUGUCAAUGGUCGUGAAAUAUUGAUGAAAAUGUUAGAGGUGUUUGUUAGAAAGUUUCAAACAAUUGCAAAGUAUCACAUCCCUGGAAUUAUGAACAAAUGUGAGCCUGCUAUAGAGCCUCCUGUUGGAAAAGAGAUUUCUAAUUUCCCACCAUCUCCUUCAAUCAAAGAUGAUGAUAUUGAUGAAGAUUCUAAAAAAUGCACUGGAACAACUAAAGACUCUUUUUCUGUUCCUGACUAUAGAGAGAUGGUUAAAACACUUGUCUGUGGUGUUAAAACAAUUACUUGGGGUGCUGGUUCUUGCAAGUUGCCUGGAGAUAUAACUAUUUCCGUAUAUCCACAAGGAAACAAAGUUUUUUUGCCUUCAGAGACAGAGAUAUUUAUACGCUUGUUAAAAUAUGCCCUUGUUGCAUUAGAUGUUUAUCAAAUAUCCAUAAAUCCCACUGGAACAGGAUACGUCAAAAUGACCAAUUCCCCAAAUCAAAUUCGAAUGAAGGAGGAAAAAGAAAUCCUUGAACAUUUUGCUGGAGUGUUUACUAUGUUAAAUACUGCAACAUUUAAAGAAGUAUUUUCUGCUUCUAUUGAUUACUUAGUAGAACGCAUUCAUAAUAACUAUGCAUUUCAAAUUAUUCCUAAUUCUUUCCUUGCUAAUCCACACACAUCUGCCACAUUUGCGACAAUACUUGUUGAUUUUCUUUUGGGAAAGUUAAAAGACAUGGGAACAAAAUCUGAAAGAGCAAAUUUGUACCUAAAGCUGUUUAAAUUAGUGUUUGGUUCAGUGUCACUCUUUGCUCAGGAGAAUGAACAAAUGCUUAAGCCUCACUUGCACGAUAUUGUUAACAAUUCGAUGGAACUUGCUUUAUCAGCUAAAGAACCAUAUAAUUAUUUUCUCCUACUCAGAGCUUUAUUCAGAUCAAUUGGAGGAGGUAAUCAUGAUUUGUUAUACCAAGAGUUUCUACCACUGCUUCCUGCAUUAUUGCAAGGUCUUAACAACCUGCAAAGUGGAAUACAUAAGCAACAUAUGAAAGAUCUUUUUGUAGAGCUAUGCUUAACAGUACCAGUUCGUUUAAGUUCGUUGCUUCCAUAUUUGCCAAUGUUAAUGGACCCUUUAGUUUCUGCUUUAAAUGGAUCUCAAUCAUUAGUUAGUCAAGGACUUCGUACUCUUGAACUAUGUGUUGAUAAUCUUCAACCGGAUUUUCUUUAUGAUCACAUAUUACCAGUAAAAUCUGACUUAAUGCAAGCUUUGUGGAAAACAUUGCGUAACCCAAUGGAAACUAUGGCUCAUGUUGCUUUUCGUGUGCUUGGAAAGUUUGGUGGCAAUGGAAGAAAAUUGUUGGAGCAACCACAAACUUUGAAUUUUAAACCAAAUGAGAACAUCGGACCUUGUUUAAUGUUGUACUUUACAGAAACCAAUGAACCUGUAAACUUGCCAGUAUCUGUAGUAAUAGACAAAGCAUUAAGCGUUCUAAAAACACAGAUACCAUCUUUACCAUCAGUUACACAAAACAAUUACUCAGUAGAUAACAUUCCAUUUUACAAAGAGCAAGCUUGGUUUAUAAUUAAACAUUUUAUUGUUGCAGCUAUAUCUAAAGAAGAUUCCACAUUAUUGCUUAAAGUAUUGCUAAAAGAUGUGAAUUUAAAAGAUUUUCCUAAAAUAGGGAAAAUGCCAGCGCAAUCAUGCAUGGAUGAACAAUCUAAGAAAACUUUUCAACAAGCAUUAACUGGUAUGCUAUUUGCUUCAUCUAUUAAAGAGCUGCAAAAUGAUUCACUUCCAUUCAUGUGUGGUAUAUUAAGACAAUUUGCUCUAGUGAUGAUUGUGCAGCAAAGUGAAUUAUUUUACAAGCAACAAAAUGCAUGUUUAACUGGAAUGGAUGUACACACAAUUGUUGAUUCCAUAGCUGAUAUUGUUUCGCACGAGGACAAAGAUCUAAUUAAAUAUGGAAACUUAGCAAUAACUGUUCUUUUUGAAACUGCUUCCAUUGUAAUGCAAGAUAAACUAAAAGCUGCUCAAUUGCCUUUCUUUGAAUAUUUAGCAGAAAAACUGUGUGGUUGUUGUUAUGAGCGGGCUUGGUUUGCGAAAAGUGGUGGUUGUUCAGUUGUAGAGUUUUUAAUGAACACUUUCCCUAUUGAAUGGGUUGUGGAACAUCAACCAAUGUUUAUAAGUGCACUUAUGUUUGUAAUGAUGGAUCUUUUAAAUGAGGUUUCUUCUGGAGCUGUUGAAUCAGCAAAAAGAAUUCUUGAAGAGUUAUUGCGAAAAUGCAAUGGGCAGUCUAUUAAAGUUGGUUCUUUACAGGAUCAGUAUUUUCCUAUUGUUGUCCAAAACAUGGUUCGUGAAGUUGUAUCUCCAAAUCACACAGUGCGUGAGCAGGCUCGCCAUUCUUUGCAAGUACUUUCUGAAGUAACUAACAAGACAGUUUACAGCCUGAUGGAGCCUCACAAAUCUUUGUUAGAAGAUAUGAUCCCACCUAAAAAGCAUUUGCUUCGUCAUCAACCAAUUAAUACACAAAUUGCAUUAAUGGAUGGUAAUACAUUUUGUACAUCCCUAAAUCCAAGGUUAUUUACAAUGGACUUAUCAAUUGUGGAACAUAAAGUUUUUUUUACUGAGCUUUACACACUUUGUGAAGCUGAUGAUGCCACAUUGACAAAGCUUCCAUGUUACAAGUCAGUUACUUCAUUUACUCAACUCCGUGUUAGUGCACUUGCAGCAUUGACAGCAUGUCACUACAUUGUACAAGCCCGUGAAAAAAUCUUUAAUGUGUUAGUUAAAGCUAUAAAUUCAAUAUCAUCAGAGGUUAUGCAAGCUGGCAAAGAAAAUAUGCAAAAGUUUAUAGCUGGUGGUGCGCUUGAGUCUGUUAAAGAGCUUGUAUCAGUAAAUAUUCGACCUUUGUUGUUAAUGCUAGGAGAUUACAGAAGUCUUAGUAUGAAUGUUUUAAAUAAACUUACCUGUUUUAUGGAAUUGUUUCCAGAGCUUUUUAAUGAAAAGCUUUGUGAGCAACUUUUAGCACAUUUACGUAAAUGGACUGAUACAGCUGUGUCUACUGCAAAUACGCAAAAUCAUCAGCAGGUUAAGCCAGCUUUACGUAGUACUGAAGAGAUUAAAAUAUGUGGAGCUAUUAUGAAUAUGUUUUAUCUUGUUCCUGCUGCCUCAACUAAGUUAAUUGAACCGCUUAUUGCAUUGACCGUUAAAACAGAAAGAGCUUUAGUCAUAGAAGUUUCAAGUCCGUUUCGUCAACCUUUAGUUGCUUUUCUUCUUCAUUAUCCUCAUCAAGCUGUUGAACACUUUCUUUCAAAUAUUUCAGAUCCCUUGAUUAAUAGAUUGUUUAUUUGUAUUUUAAAAAGAGAUGAUGCAAAGCCAUUUAGAAUAGCUCUUGAAGCAAAUGCUGUGAGAUUGGUCAACAGCACAUUCUUAGCAACUUUACCUCAACAAAAUGAAGAUCAGCUGGCGUUAGCAAUAAAGCGUCAUAAUCUACAGUUUCAAGGUGUUUUAAUCGUUCGAAUUCUUGUAAAGUUUAAUCAAGAGUGGUUGUCACAGCAACCUUUAGUAAUUACACACCUGAAAAGAAUUUGGAACUCUCAUCCAUUGUUUGAAAAAAGUAUUGACAGUAGCAAUGAAUAUUGGAGAGAGGUUAAGUUAGUUGCAAAAUGUCUCUUAUCUUAUGUCAGUCAUAAACCAAAUGAUAUAGAUGUUUUGUUUCAACUACUUAAAGUUUAUACAAUCAUCUCUUUGUCAAGUUUUCAUUUUUUAAAGCGAUUUUUAGAGAACAUUUGCAAGUCCUACACUGUUGAAAAAAAAAGAAAUGUUUUCUUUAAAUUUGUUGAAUGUUUUCUUAACCAAUCCUUUCCACAAACUUUAAAAGCAAUGAUUCUAAUGCACCUUGUUAUACCAAUGUUUGAAGAUAGUUUUAAGAAAAAUGAAACUAUAGAGUUGAUUGGAGGACCACCAUGUCCAGAACAAGAUAGCCCAAAUAAUGUGAUCAGUGUUUUCUUAAAUAAAGUGAUUGACCCAGAAAUGGCAUUUCCGGACUCCAUACGCAUUUUAUUAUUACAGUUGUCAGCAUUGUUAGUUGAACAUGCUGGCGCUCAUAUUCAUGAUGUUUCAAAUCGUAAACAAGGUGUAAAACUUAAGCGACUUUAUAUAUUUGCUUGGCCAUGUUUACUUUCUAAACAGUGUGUAGAUCCUGCUACAAAGUAUCAUGGCUUUUUUUUGCAAGCCCAUAUUAUUAUCAAAUUUGCAAUUCAUAAAAAGUUUGUUUUACAGGUUUUUCAUGGUUUGCUGAAAGCUCAUGGGCAAGAGGCUCGCCAAGUUGUUCGCCAAGGACUUGACAUUUUGACACCUGUAAUGCCUACUCGAAUGGAAGAUGGCAAUGCUAUGCUUUCCCAUUGGACUAAAAAAAUUAUAGUAGAAGAAGGUCACACAUUAAGUCAGCUUGUUCAUGUUUUACACUUGAUUGUUCACCAUCGUGAUGUGUACUAUCCUGUUCGAAUGGAUCUUGUUCAGCACAUGAUUAGUUCAAUGCAAAGAUUAGGUUUUACCCAGAGUGCAACAAUUGAACAUCGCAAAUUAGCUGUUGAUUUAGCUGAAGUUAUUAUUGAAUGGGAAAGACACCAUCAUGAACAAGAUCAAACUGCAGAUGUUCCAACUAAUUUAGUUGCUAGUGGCAUUAAGAGAUUAAGUACUGAAAGUGUAGACCAAAUUAUACCUAAAAAACCUCGCACUAUGCUUAUUAAAGAAGAGAAACAUGAAAAGUUUGAAAAGCAUGUUGUCGAUGCUGUAAGCAACUUUUUGUUUCGUAUCGCAUGUCAAGUAAAUGAUAAUAGUGCAUCUACUGGAAGUUCUCCAGCUGAGACACUUUCAAAAAGAUGUUUUAAGCUACUUCAAAUCUGUUUAAAACCUGAUUGUUGGCCUGAAGCUGAAUUACGUGUUAUCUGGCUCGAAAAACUGUUUCUUAUGCUUGAAUCAACACCAAAUUCAAAUAUUUCUAAUAUCUCAAUUGGUUUAGAGAUGUUGACAUAUAUGUGCACUAUAUUAAAUAAACAAGAAAUCCUGGCCAUGUUUAAGCCAAUUCAGAGAGGAAUUAUUGUUUGCAUGGCAUGUCAAAAUGUAAAAGUUGUGAAAGGUGUUCAUUUGAUGUUAGAGAAACUAUUAGGAUUGUUUCCAAUUGAAUCUGGCUUAUGUAAUAAAGAAGAUGAGUUUGAAAACUUGUAUAGCAGCAUUGGAAAUAUCAUUUACGAAGGUUUAAAUAGUUAUGAAACUAGUUCAUCAACAACAACACUAAAUGUGCCAAUAAACUUACUCAAGGCUGCUUGUUCAAGUAGUCCUUGUUAUUUAGACAAAUUCCUCAUUCCAUUUAUGAAGGCAAUGCAAAAAAUGCAAAAAGAACAUAUCACAGGGCAGGCAGGUGAAAGUGCAGGCUUAACUGAUUUGUUGAUUUCUGCAUUAGAGCUUGCUAAAAUGAGAAUUUGUGCUAUGCAAGGAGACAUGAGAAAAGUUUUUCUAACAGUUCUUACUUCUCUUAUCGAGAAGUCACCAGAAGCUAGACUGUUGAAAGCAAUGAUUAAAAUUGUAGAUGAAUGGAUUAGAGUAAAAGUUACCACAAGUAACAACAUACCAUCUAUUCGUGAAAAAUCGCUUAUUCUUUAUCGAAUGAUGUUAAAUUUUGAAAAACGAUUUGCUGAUGAUGUGGAGCUUCACAGUCAGUUUUUAGAAAUUGUUAAUUAUGUUUACAAAGAUAAAUCUCUAAGUGGCAGUGAGCUCACUGCGCGACUGGAACCAGCCUUUUUGGCUGGUCUUCGUAGUGUUAAUCCAUCAAUAAGGACUAAAUUUAUGGAUGUUUUUGAUAAAAGCAUUAAAAAGAAAAUUUAUGAUCGUCUUUUGUACAUUAUAUCAACUCAAAAUUGGGAACAUAUGGGCAAUCAGUAUUGGAUAAAACAAUGCUUAGAGCUUAUUUUUAAUACAAUACAGAUAGAUAAAAAUGUUGUUUGUAGCAGUAAUUACAGUAGGUUACCUUCAUGUUUAUCUGCACUUCGUAAUUCAACUCAACCAGAAGCUGUAAAAGUUUUAGAACAGUAUCAUCAACGAAAAAAAGAUUUAUCAGUUACAUUAAAGUCAUUAGAACAAAAUUAUGAAGAAAUAAAAAAUGAAGAGAUAGAUCUCUUUUGCCUUCGUUCAACUAAUUCUAUUUUAGAAAAACUUAAUGAUAUAAACAGCUGUGUUGUGAACUUAGACAAUAAAUUUGAUUAUACUUUAGUAUUGGAGCAGUUGUCCCAAGUUCAUGGGAAGUUUCUUGAUAGGUUGCAUGAUAUCAAAAUAGCUCCAUUUGUAAAUGCUAUUUCACAACUCUGUCAUAGAAGUACAUUACUUGCUCAUAAAAUUUGGGUUGAUAUUUUUCCUCAGUUAUGGGAUUUAUUAGAAACACGUUACCAGACCGUUCUUUGUGGUGAAUUUGGUCCAUUUUUAUGUAGUGGUAGUCAUUUAGCACAAACCGAAGGCUAUCGAAGCGCUAUUAAUACUCUUGUUGAAGGUAUGUCACGCUGUGUUGGUUUGAGUAUACGUCCUUGUGUAUUAAAGUACCUUGGAAAAACUCAUAACUUAUGGCAUCAAAGUGCUUUAAUGUUAGAAAACAUGGCUUUAGCUUGUGAUGAUAUAGUUUCUGUCAAUCCUCAGCUUCCAUUACAGCAACCAUGGUUAGAUUUUGGUUUAUAUGAUGAUGAUGUUUCUGAAAUACCUGUCCAAGAAACAUUUGAAUCAUUAGCUGAAAUGUAUGAACUGCUUUCUGAAGAUGAUAUGGUUGCAGGUUUGUGGCAACACAAAGCAAGAUUUCCAGAAACUUUGACAGCUCUUUCCUUUGAAUUACAAGGUCUUUUUGAGCAUGCUCAAACUUCUUAUGAAAGUGCAAUGUCAAAAGCACGUGAACAGUCCAAUAAUAGUCGUUUAGAUCCAAGAUUGCUUUCAGAAUAUCAACUUUGGGAGGAUCGCUGGGUUCGCUGUGCUAAAGAAUUAGGCCAAUGGGAUGUUUUGAUUGAAUUUGGUAAAUCUAAAGCUCAGUCUAAUGAUUUAAUAGUUUUAGAAAGUGCAUGGCGUAUACCAGAUUGGCAGGCAAUGAAAGAAGCUCUCACUCAGGUUGAAUUGAGUUUUCCUGAUGCAAUAGCUUACCAGCUAACACUUUAUCGAGGUUAUUUGAGUAUUUGUCACCCUGAUGAACAAAAUUUGAGUAAUCUUGAAAAACUUGUGGAUGCAGCAUCAACACAAGCCAUAAGGCAGUGGAGGCGACUUCCAAACAUUGUUUCAUCUAUUCAUAUUAAGAUUUUGAGAGCUGCGCAGCAAAUUAUAGAGCUUCAAGAAGCAUCUCAAUUGCAUGUAGGUUUGCAACAGCAGAACAUUGGAAGAAUGUCAAGUUUACAUGACAUGAAAGCUACUGUGAAAACAUGGAGAAAUAGAUUGCCAUUGCAGUGUGAUGAUCUGUUGCAUUGGAGUGAUAUAUUUAUGUGGCGGCAUCAUCAUUAUCAAGCUAUUGUUGCUGCAUAUGAAAAUCUUUCUACACAAAUGUCUAAUGAAGCCCAGUCUAAUAAUCAUGCAAUGCUAGGUGUUCAUGCUUCUGCUUGGUCUAUAAUAUACUAUGGAUAUAUUGCACGAAAACAUGGUCUUACAGGUGUUUGUUUAGACUCGCUUAGUCGCAUUCAUACAAUUCCAUCUGUUCCAAUUGUUGAUUGCUUUCAGAAAAUUCGUCAACAAGUCAAGUGUUAUCUUCAGAUGGCAGGUGUCAUGGGAAAAACAGAAUUACAUGAAGGACUUGAAGUCAUUGAAUCAACAAAUUUAAAAUACUUUACAAAGGAGAUGACAGCAGAAUUUCAUGCAUUGAAAGGGAUGUUCCUUGCACAGGUAGGUCGAUCAGAAGAAGCUAAUAAAGCAUUUUCAGAUGCAGUUCAAAUGCAUGACACUUUGGUAAAAGCAUGGGCACUCUGGGGUGAUUAUCUAGAUAGUUUAUUUGUUAGUGAUCGAAAUAUGACACUUGGUGUAUAUGCAUUAAUAUGUUAUCUCCAUGCAUGUCGCAGCAAUCAUGAGGCAAAAUGUAGAAAAUAUUUAGCAAGGUCAUUGUGGUUGUUAACUUAUGAUGAUGACAAAGCGAUUCUUGCAGAUACAUUAGAAAAAUACUACAUAGGUGUUCAUCCUGCUCAUUGGUUAGCAUGGAUUCCACAAUUGUUAACAUGCCUUGUACGAAAAGAAGGUCAAAGAGUUUUAAAUUUAAUUUUUUCUAUUGGUAGAGUGUUUCCACAAGCUGUUUACUUUCCAAUACGAACUUUGUACUUGACAUUAAAGAUAGAACAGCGAGAAAAAUACAAACUAGGAUUAGUUCAGGGUGGCAAGACAUCUCCUGGUUUUCCUUCUGGGCCAUCAGGAAUAAAUGUAGUAUCAACAUCAAAUGAAGAUGAAACAAUAACAAAAACUGUACCUAGUUCAGUAUCAGAAUCAGUUGUUGAUGAAAGUAGUUCAGUAACUACUAUUCCAGCAUCAAGUGAUGUUGUUACACCAGCAACAAUAGCAGCUCGGUUAGCAGCAUCUUCUAAUACUGUAAAUUGCACUAUUGCUCCUUCAAGUUUAUCGAACAUCUCAACACUUACAACUGAAGCUUCUGAUAAGCUUUCAACCAGCAAAACUGCUUCAACUCAUAUAAAUACAAUAGCAUCAACUACUGCAUCAGAAGCCAGCUCUGCAACAUCAACAAAUGGAAGUGGUGGAUUAAUUAGAGCUCCGCCUCAAAUGUGGAGAUGCAGUCGUAUCAUGCAUAUGCUUCGUGAUCUUCAUCCAACACUUCUUUCUGCGUUAGAGGGUAUUGUUGAUCAAAUGGUUUGGUUUCGUGAAUGCUGGCAUGAAGACGUUUUGCGCCAAUUACGCCAAGGAUUAGCAAAGUGUUAUCAAGUUGCGUUUGAGCAAAGAGGAAAUAUAAAUAAUGCACAAAUAACGCCACGCACUCUGAGUUUUGUCAACAAAUUAGUUAGUACAUUUGGUAUUGGUUUUGAAAGUGCUUCAAAUAUUUCUCAAACUUUUUCAUCUGCUGCCUCUGAAUCGCUAGCACGCAGAGCUCAAAUAACUGCACAAGAUCCCGUUUUUCAAAAAUUAAAAGGACAGUUUAGUGCUGACUUUGAUUUUAGCCAACCAAACUCAAAAAAACUACAUGUGUUAAUAAUGAAGUUAAAAAAGUGGAUAAAGAUUUUAGAAGCUAAAGCAAAAGUAAUGCCCAGCUCAUUUCUUCUAGAGGAAACAUGUCGUUUUAUCAGUAAUUUCUCACAAUCCACUGCAGAAGUAGAGUUACCAGGGGAGUUUUUAAUGCCUAAAUCUACUACACAUAAUGCAUUUUAUGUACGCAUUUCAAAGUUUAUGCCUCGUGUUGAGCUUGUUCAACGCAAUAAUUUUUCUGCUAGAAGGCUUACAAUCCGCGGACAUAAUGGUAAACUUUAUCCUUAUCUUGUUGUGAAUGAUGCUUGGCUUACAGAAUCAAGACGAGAAGAGCGAGUUUUACAACUAAUGCGAAUGCUUAACCACUUUUUUGAAAAGAGAAAAGAAACUUGUCGGAGGGGCUUACAAUUUACAGUUCCAAGAGUUGUUGCUGUUUCACCACAGAUGAGACUUAUAGAGGACAAUCCUUCAUUUAUUUCUUUGAAUGAGAUUUUCAAAGAAGGAUGUGAAAAAAGAAAUUUAGACUCAGAGCAUCCAAUAGUUGUUUAUUAUGAAAAACUAGCUCAAAUUCAAGAGAGAGGUUAUAUAUUCAAUCAUCAGUCGUUAAGAGAAAUUCUAAAAGAGGUACAAACAUGUUUUGUUCCUGAAACUAUGUUUAAAGAAUGGGCUUUAUAUACAUAUCCUACAGCAACUGAAUAUUGGACUUUUAGGAAAAAGUUAACUCAACAAAUUGCUUUAGCUGGUCUUAUUGAGUUUGUUUUGCAUUUAACUCGCUUAAACCCUGAAAUGAUUAAUAUUGCACGUGAUUGUGGAAAAGUUACCUUUAACUACUUUAGAUUUGAUAUUGAUGACGUUAAAGGUGAACUUGAUGCUAAUCGACCUGUACCAUUUCGUUUAACGCCAAAUCUUAGUGAGUUUAUUACUCCGGUUGGUGUAAAUGGAAUAAUGACUCAUUGUAUGAUAGCUGUGGCAAGGUGUCUGGUUCAACCUCAAUUUAGUAUUAGCAGUUAUUUUAAAGUUAUAUUGAAAGAUGAACUUAUUGCCUGGAAUAAAAAAAAAAACAAGAUGAACAAAAUCUUUUACCUAACCAAUCAGAAAUGAAUAAUGAACAACUUAUAACAUUAGUUACAAAUGCAAGCAAUGCAAUGUUAACAAGACUUCAAAAUUUGGCCAUAUUUGAAAAUGCUGAAUCUAAAGUUUUUACUCUUAUAUCAGCUGCAUUAAAUCCGGACAACACUUGUCGAAUGGAUCCUGCAUGGCAUCCUUGGCUCUGAUAGAAGCUUUUGUGUCGUUUCUUGGUUAUUUUUUUCAAUAAACUGCAUCAACCUAAUAUAAAAGUUAUUUGUAUUUAUUUUACUUUUUUAAAUAUUUAAUCGUUUUAUUGGUAGAGAGUUAAUUGGUAUCUAAUGAAAUAUAUAUAGCUAUCAAGAAAUGAGAUAUAUUAUUGGUAUAUAUUAUUAUAUAUUGUGUUAAAUGCAUUUAAUAAUUAUUUAAUAGGUAUUUUAUAUCUUUAACUGCACACUUUAUUUAAUAAUAAUCUGCAUUAGUAAGUCAUAACUAAGAGUUCUUAUAAAACAGACCUUGUUACAUUUGUUACAUUACCUACAUGCGUGAAAUAACUUUUUACUAUUAGUAAUAUGUGAAAUAUAUAUAUAUAUAUAUAUAUAUACAUAUAUAUAUAUAUAUAUAUAUAUAUAUAUAUAUAUAUAUAUAUAUAUAUAUAUAUAUAUCAAGGGCGGAUCCAUAGGGGGAGGGGAUCGCCCCCUACCUUUUUUCUUAGAAUGUUUUGAAAUUUUUUAUUUUUGUAAGUUUAUAUAUUAAACACAGCAAGUUAUUUGAAAACGGAAAUAAUAUAGUUAGGCUGUUUAAAUAAAAUUAGAAUUUUAAUAAAAUUUAAAAUUGUGUGGUUGCUUGCUUACAAAUCAUUAAAUCUAAAAAUGGCCUCCCCUCCCUCAUUGCCAAAUCCCAAAUCGAAAAAAAAAAUCAAAUUGCCUUCCUUACGGCAUGGGCUGGAUCCGCCCUGGAUAUAUAUAUAUAUAUAUAUAUAUAUAUAUAUAUAUAUAUAUAUAUAUAUAUAUAUAUAUAUAUAUAUAUAUAUAUAUAUAUAUAUAUAUAUAUAUAUAUAUAUAUAUAUAAAGAUAUUUAUUAUUAUUGUUUGCUUAGAUUUUUGUUGUUGUUGUUGUUUGUUUGUUUUUUAAUUUUAAUUCAGGGUUUACGAGAAUUCACAAGUUUCAGGGUUGGGCAAACAUGGAUCUUUUAAUAGAAUACAACUUUUUGCAUGAUUAACUAUGGUUCUCUUUUACGAUAUGUAUACAAAUAUGUGUUUAAUUUUUAUUGAUCAUUUGCCCACCCCUGCUAAAAUGUUUUAAGUACUUAUUGUUACAUGAUUUCUUUUUGCUUUUCUUUUAGUUAAUAUAAUGAAUCGAUCACAUGUUUUUUGGCAUUUUUCAUCAAAAUGUUUCAAAUUUACUUUAGCUCUUUGCCCAAAUUCUCGUAGCUUCGCAACUAGUAAUUUUCUAUGUAAAAAGGUUUAUAAAAAGUCGAUUGAUAAGGAAAGCAAAAUAACGAAAGAUAGGAGGCAUUAUUUAAAUGAAGAUCAUGAAGUAACUCUUCAAGUUGUUGAUUAUUUUAAAAAUAUUCAAAAUGACACUUUAUUUGAAGACAAGAGUAAAGUGAUUCAUAAACUUCAAACGAAUGUUUCCCAAAUUUUUGGAUUUAGUUUGGAUGUGUUAAAAAGACGUUUAGAAUUAAUUAAAGAUUCAGGACUUGCAAAAAGUGAUGAAAUGUUGUUGAUUUUAUCAAUACCAGCGUCCUUUGAUAUAUGCAAUCCGAAUUUUCUUGGCGUUGUAAAAUGUCUUCAAAAGUUUGAUCUACCUGUUAUAGAACUUUUCCGUGCAAAUCCAUUUAUUGGAAGCAUUGAUUUAACACGUUUAGAAGAAAACCUAACGCUAUUAGAAAAAGCGGGUAUGAAGUCAGCAUUAAAAAAUGUUAUAUUGAAGAAUUCUAUUUUAUUAAGUUAUCCUUUAACGCUUGAAGCAUUAAAUCAUUUAAAGCGGCUACAUACGUUGGGAUUAGAUCAAAGUAAAUUACUGGAAACUUCUUUUUACGAACCAAGGUUAUUCUCGGUUCAGGAUAAAUCUUUAAGUGCCAUUUUAAGAGAAGUUAAGGAAAUUAAUCUAUCUGAAGUCAAAGAUUUCUUAGCAUCGUAUAAAAUAGAAAUAGAGCGAAUUUAUCGGCUUUGUCCAGAAUUUCUUUUUAUUUCCAAGGAAAAACUAGAAGCUUGUCUUGAAAAAGCACAGUCUUCUCCAUUUUUCCUUGUUGCUGAAGAUAUUGAGAAACUUUUACGCAACAGACCGGAUGUCUUUCUUGUACUGUCUGAUGACAAAGUCACUGACGUUGUAAAUUACAUUGAAAAAAUAAGUACAGUUAAAAGUAGAGCAUUUAGACUUCUUAAUGAACGUCCUGAAAUAUUUCGAUUCCCAGAAAAAUUUAAUAGGAGAUGUGAUUUAUUUAAAUCAUUUGGAUUUAAAGAGGCCGAUAUUGCUCGUUUAUUUGCAGUCAAAGGAGGUCCAAAUUGUUUUGUGGAUUGUGAUGAUUUUUCUCACCAUUCUAUGACUGAGAUUCUUGAGUUCUAUAUGAGCAGUAAGGAUUUAACACCAGUUCAAUUGGUUGUAUCUGCGCCCAUAUGUUUUGCUAAAACCCAUUUCCCAAUCAUAAAACAACGUUUUACAUACAUGCGGCAAUUAGGUUUGAUGAAAUUAAUUGCACCAAGAAAAGUCACUUCCAAAAAAGGUAAAUUAUCGCUACAAAGUAUCAUCAAAUGUGAAUCAGAAGAAUUUGUCAAGAUUUGCAAGAGUACUUUAGAGGAAUACAAUAGUUUUUUGUCAAAGUUUUAAAUAUUUUUUUGUUUAAAAAUACUAUUUAGUUGUUUUUGUAAGUGCUACAUGCUUAAUAUCAUAUUGUAUUUUUAUUAAAGAAAUU